GAACCAAACUGACAGUUCUUGGUCAGAUAAUACAUAAUUGGUUAUUUGUCUUGGACACCAGAACAAAAGACGCCUUGUUGUCAAAAGGUUCAGAUGUCUCUUUCUGCAGGACUUUGACCCUGCAGCUUUAAUUUCGUGAUGUGUCCUUUUGUCCUGGCAGAACCUGGACAUGACGUCAGCGGGCCGACAGUCAAAGUGCUUCGCCCUUCACCAAAGGAGUGUCAAAGCCACGGAGACCAGGAGAAGAAGAAGAAGACCAUCGUGUGUGUGGCCAGUGGGUUCUACCCAGACCACGUCGGCGUGCUCUGGAAGGUCGACGGGGUGGAGGUCACCACCGGGGUGGCGACCGACAGCGCCGCUCUCCGGCACGGCAAGUCUUACAGGAUCAGCAGCAGGCUGAGGGUCUCUGCCAACGACUGGUUCACAGACCAAGAGUUCACCUGCAGCGUCCGCUUCUUCAACGGGACGCACACGGAGCUCUACUCACACUCCAUCCUGGGGGGGAAAGGAGCGCUGACCAGAGAGAAAUAUCUGAGGAUCGCACAGACGGCCAAACUGUCCUACGGGGUUCUCAUCGUCAAGAGCGGCGUCUACGGAGCCUUUGUGGCGUUUCUGGUGUGGAGGCUUCAGAGUUCAGCCGGGAAGCAGAGCGACUGAGAGCUGAGGCCUGGACAGAAGUUCAUCGAGUAGAUCGUUGUGUGUUGCACUCAAAUGAACUAGAGGAGCAGUUGUGUCUCUGUUUUUAAAACUGCCAUGCAAAUACUUUGGCCUCACAUUUCUUUUAAAAAUACGUAAAAUAAUUCUGUGUGUGUCGUCGUGGAACGCACGUUUGCUUAUUUUCCGUCUAAAUAAAAGUGUUUCAGAGGAUC
Non-coding RNA from Pseudoliparis swirei, 869 nucleotides. Lineage: Eukaryota; Metazoa; Chordata; Actinopteri; Perciformes; Liparidae. The record is from the annotation of a RefSeq genome assembly.